Long non-coding RNA from Brassica rapa (field mustard), 5203 nucleotides. RefSeq lists it as uncharacterized. The record is from RefSeq and is a predicted model, not a curated record. Lineage: Eukaryota; Viridiplantae; Streptophyta; Magnoliopsida; Brassicales; Brassicaceae.
GGUAUACUUUCAAUUAUCUUCACAUCCUGGGGAUCCACUAACAACCGAAGAGCCUGCGAGUUCCAAGUUCGCGAAGUAGGAUCUAUUAAAGAGUCCACUGUAAGUCAUCUUAGCGGUUUCAUUCGACACUGAAGCGCUUAGUCCUCACUACUACGACCAUACAUGUCCAAAAGCCGACCAAAUCGUCACCAAUGCAGUCAAGAAAGCCAUGGCAAAUGACAAAACUGUCCCUGCUGCUCUCUUGAGGAUGCAUUUCCACGAUUGCUUUGUCAGGGUAGCUACUUCAUGCACAGCACAUUCUUGUAAUCUUUCAAUAAUUUUUUAUAUAUAUUAAAGAAAUAAGCUGUUGGCGAUUGUUUUUGUUGCUUAAGGGAUGUGAUGCGUCAGUGCUGUUGGACUCAAAAGGGAAAGAACAAAGCAGAGAAAGAUGGACCUCCAAACAUCUCACUCCAUGCAUUUUAUGUGAUUGACAAUGCAAAGAAGGCAUUAGAAGAGCAAUGUCCAGGUGUCGUCUCGUGUGCCGAUAUCGUUUCACUGGCUGCAAGAGAUGCUGUCGCGAUCUCAUAUAUCAAAUUCUAGUUUUAUUUGAUAAUUCUAAUAAUCGACAUCAUUUAUUUGUGUGAACGUAAUGAUAGUCAGGAGGGCCAACAUGGGAAGUGCCAAAAGGGAGAAAGGAUGGAAGAGUAUCAAAAGCAAUAGAAACAAGACAACUACCAGCUCCUACUUUUAACAUCUCUCAGCUGCGACAAAGUUUUGUCCAAAGAUGCCUUUCUAUGCACGAUCUUGUUGUUCUCUCUGGUAUUACACAUUUUCCCAUAUACUUAAAAUAUACAGUACAAGGAUGUCGAUUUGCCAUCUAAAUUCUUGGUAACGUCAACCAACAGAGUGUGAGAUGUCAAUUUAAGUCCGACUUUGGAAAUUAGAUAAAGGAGAGUCUAAUAUAUAAAGAGAUGUCCAACUCUAAUUAGUAUGAAGCCAUUUGAGAAGAAAACCAAAAAUAAAUUCAUGUGGGCUUGCCUAAAGCCCAAAGUGGACAAUAUCGUACUAAUCACCUACAUAUUAAUAGAGAAACAUUUGAAAAGUUAUAACAUGUAUUUUAUAUUAAUUAAAAAAGUGUUUAGCUUAAUUGUCAAUUAAUUAGCAUAGCAAUUAAUCUGACUAGCUUCAUAUUUAAUUAGAAAAUAAUGUUGGUCCAAGAUCUAGAUUGUGAUUUCGCUAGGGAUUUAUAAAAUUAAACUUUUUUUUACGCUGAUUCAUUUUGACAUUACAAAUAUGAGAAAUAUUAUAUAGACGAUUUAACAAUCCACAAUACUACCUGCCUUAUGAGGAUCUACACCUAACUGCAUCACCUGAGUCGUCCUAUGAAGAUCCACGCUUGACUAGAUUUAUUUGCACCAUGUUGAAGAUUUAUUUGCACCAUGUUGAAGAUCCCUUGUAAGAUUUAUAAAAUUAAACUUUUUUUACGCUGAUUCAUUUUGACAUUACAAAUAUGAGAAAUAUUAUAUAGACGAUUUAACAAUCCACAAUACUACCUGCCUUAUGAGGAUCUACACCUAACUGCAUCACCUGAGUCGUCCUAUGAAGAUCCACGCUUGACUAGAUUUAUUUGCACCAUGUUGAAGAUCCCUUGUAAGUUUUUCUUCCGUAGCCUGCAGUAAUAAAUCGCUCUUUCCGGGAUUUGAAACCUAGAUUUCCUGUAUUCUACAAUAAAUUGCAUAGUCUGGGAUUCGAAUCCCAAACCUGGGUAUAGAAGCCUUUAAACCUUAACCAUUAGGCUAGGGUCCUUCCACAUUAAAAUUAAACUUAGGCUAAGCGCAUUACAUCAUCUUCUUGAGUUAUCUGGCGUGAGAAAAAAAAAGAAAUUUGACUAAAUAUGAAGAUUGCCUUAUUAGAAGAAACAAUAAAUGACUAUUAAAUUAAUGCACUUAAGAAUAAAUAUCAAAUAUACACGUUCUACACGAUUUGAUAGACACUUAGACAAUAUGUAAUUACGGAAAAUAUUUAUCACCGAGGCAAAAAUUAACCCUUAUAUAUUAAUAGAGAAAUAUUUAAAAAUUUGUAACCGUAAGUUUGUAUUAAUUAAAAAAAAUCUUGCUUAGGUGUUGAUUAAUUAUGAUGUCAAUUUGGCUUAUGUGACAGCAUAAAAAAUCAAUUGAAAACUUAGUAAGUCCAAAAUCCAAUGGCUAGAAAACUAUAUUAAUCCAAACAUAAAUGUAUAUGAUAUGAUAAACUUAAUACUCGGUGAUCUCAUUAAAUUAAUACUCGACGAUCUCAUUAAAUGAAACUUUCUUUAAAUGAUUCAAAAUUGAUUUAAAUUGUGAUCCAACCUAAUAAUUAUUUUUUAAAGUGUAAGGUAUACUCUUAUUCCGUAUUACUUAGACAACAAAAUUAAUCAAAGUUUGCUAUAGCCUAAGUAUUGCAUGUUUUUGCUAUAAAUUGGAAAAUAAUAAUUUUUUUAAUUUUUUUUAUUAGUAACAAAGAGGCACUUUGAGAAAAAAAAAUAGCAAAGAGACGCAGCAAUAAAAAAAUUCAAUAAAAGAGAAAAAAAGAAGAAUAUUGUUCGGUUCUCAAGCCUUCUCACCUACAAAAAUUUAUAUAAAGAGUAAUACAGAAAUUAGAUUGUUUUGUUAUUACCAAACCUUAUAUAUCAAUUAUUUUUCCUUGCAACACAAUUCUUUAGAAUUUAAAUUAUGAAGUUUAUAUCAAAGAUUAAGUAAAAACUUUGACACCUGCCUAAUUGUUUUUUCAUAGUCUAGGACAACAUUAAUAAUGACCUUUCGUAGUAGUUAAUGAUAUAUAUAUAUAUCACGUUAACCUAAUUUUCAUCCUAUACAAAGUAUCAGUUGCAAAUAAUAUUAUAAUCUUUUUAUAUUUGGACCUUAAGUAUAAUAAUAGUCGGGCUGAAAAAUUUUAUGUUAUGUUAAUGUGGUCUAUAACCAAACUAUACUUCAAAUUAUAAGCUUAAUCCAAUUUGUAAUUGUCUUUUUAAUAUAUCAAUUUUCCAACUUAUGUUAUCAAAAAGAGAGUAAAAUUUUGAUAUUCUGAAAAUUAGUGUAACUUUAAAAUCAAAAAUAUAUAUUUUUAUUUACUGAUAAGUUAGUAAAAGAAAAUAUUCAAAUGCAUCUGUCUAACAUAGAGAUUGAUUAUAUAAACAAUCAAAAAUUUUAUACAUAUAAAAACAAUUCGAUCAUAUGUAAAUCUUAAAUUUCUCAAUACAAUAUGUUUUACUAGGGUUGGCCCACCCUAUGGGCGGGAAGUUAUAAUAAAAACUAUUUUAUAUGAACUUAUAUUAAUUUUAUGAAGUAUUUAAAUUUAUUUUAGAUUGAAAACGAUAUUAUAAACAAACAAAUAAUUAAUAGAAUUCUAGAUCAUAUUAUUAUUUUUUUAAAAUAUUUUGGUUUGAAUUAAGAUGACAAUAACCUUAAUUAUUAUCUAAUUUUAGAGAAUAAAAAAUUACCAAGAAAAUAAAAUAAAAUGUAAUAAUGUAUAUUUCUUAUAAUUUGUAUUUUAAUUUUACAUAAUAAAAAUAGAAAUUUUAAAUAAAUAAUACUAAAUUAAUUUCAGAAGAUUCAAGUUUCAAAAGACAUGUACACAAAUGUCUCAUGGUAAAAAUGGAAAGUGGUACCAUGAAAGUGGUAAACAUGUAAUUUUUCCUAAUUUAAAAUAUAAUAUAAUUUGAUAAAAUAAUUAAAUUUCAAUUUUAAAAUACUAUAUAUAGUUUAAUAAUAUCAUAAAUAAUAAUUAAUAUUUUCUGAUUUAAUAGGGAAAUGAUGUUUUAGAAUAUAUUUGUUUCAGAUCAUAAUGAUAUCUGGAAUGAAAUAUUAAUUAAAUUUUAGUGUUUUGUUAUUAUAGCUUUUGUUGAAUUCUGAUUAAUAACAAAAUUAUUUGUUUGAGUAGAGAAAUAAGACUUGAAAGAACCCCUAUGAACCGUACAGUAAGUAAUAGAGAUUAAACGGUGGUUGGCAGGUACACUCAAAUGAGCUUAUAGAGAACAAAAGCAGAUGACCAUAAGAAUUGGAUUAUACAAUAGUCGCAGGAACCUACAGUCCAGUAGGUGAAGAGUCUUGUAUUAUUGUCACCAUAUAAAUCACCUGUAAUAUACACACAAAUCAUUAUACAGAACAUGAGAAUCAAAAUCAUAUUCAAAUUCCCUAGAAGUUAAGGGAUUGUACCUGCCAACCAGCGUCUUUGCUGCUAAGAUGUUGUUUGAAUAAGUCACUGAGAAGCCAUAUCUGCGAGAAGGUGAACUUGUGCUGCUGCUGUUAUAUCUUUGGCUCCCAUUAUAUUUGCUUUAGCUCCAUAGUAAUUAUCCCCUUCCACAUAAGCUAUGGCAUGUAACAGUUCAACAAACCAAAACAAAUUACACAUCUCAGAUCAAGAAACAAACAAAAAAAAAAAGAAAAACUUCUGAUGACCACUCUGGUUCAUGAGGUCAGGUUCCUCAGAUUUAGGAAACGGGAAAGUUAUAUGCUUCUUCUUGCCAUAUCUUUUGAAUGAACUUUCUCCUCAAGUCAUCAUCUUCCUUUGUCCUCCUUAAGGGAAUAAUUCCUUUGGCAAAUUUACCAUAUCAAUGCCAUAACUGAGGGAUAUGUAUCUCCUUCUAUUUCUGACUUCGUAAAGAUACUUUGUUGUGCUCAAAGAGUCUCUCAGGAUUGUAAUUAUGCUUCAUCUAAAAAAGGAACCGCAAGUAAAGUAAACUAAACAUCAGCACUUAAAACAUAAAAUACAAAGCCCAAACAAAUUCUAAGUAAACGUGAUCUUUGAGUAAAGGAUGAUCAAAAGCUGGUUGCUUUGAGAAGAACACAUGCAAUUACAUCUUUUUCUUGGGUUUGUUUAUCACAUCUAAAAGUUAUAAACUUUCGUUAGAUAAACCUUUUCUUAUAAAUAUCGACACAAUUUGAACUUAUUGUUCAUUUGAACAAAAGAAACAAAACCAAAAGGUAAAAGAAAAAGAAAUCGGAUUAUGAUACUUACUGAAAUCAGCCCAAGUAGAAAUACUCAAAAAGAAGAAGAUAAGAGAUUUAUCUUACCUGAAUGCUCUUGACAGCAGGUUUGUCAGCUUGUUCAAAUGCUUCUUGAUUACAAACUUCUGCUUAUAUAUGCUGGACCUUGCGGUGUAGGAUAGCGAGGCGAACCUCCACAGCCAUAAACACAGUAAGGAUCUUCAAGCUUGUUUUUAUCCUUGCAAGCUGGCAUGAUUUAA